Molecule: long non-coding RNA, 250 nt
Organism: Solea senegalensis (Senegalese sole)
Lineage: Eukaryota; Metazoa; Chordata; Actinopteri; Pleuronectiformes; Soleidae
Exons: 3
Source: RefSeq, a predicted model, not a curated record
UUUUAGAGCAGUCGCUGUUACUUAACACUCGAUUUGACAUCCAGACAACCACCAGACACAAGAAAUUCACACCACUGGAACCAGUAAAAGUCUUCCUCUGUGCAACAAUGUGGCACGAGACAUUAGAUGAGAUGAUGAAGAUAAUCAUUUCAAUAUUUCGCUUGGACAAGUAUCGGCCAAAGAAGGAAAAAGGAACCAGUGAUGUGGCCUUUGAAGGCCAUGUCUACUUUGACGACGCCUUCAGAGAUGU